CAGCAGCCGCGGGAAUACGGAGGGGGCUAGCGUUGUUCGGAAUUACUGGGCGUAAAGCGUGCGUAGGCGGUUUUGUAAGUUAGAGGUGAAAGCCCAGGGCUCAACCCUGGAAUUGCCUUUAAGACUGCAUCGCUUGAACGUCGGAGAGGUGAGUGGAAUUCCGAGUGUAGAGGUGAAAUUCGUAGAUAUUCGGAAGAACACCAGUGGCGAAGGCGACUCACUGGACGACUGUUGACGCUGAGGCACGAAAGCGUGGGGAGCAAACAGGAUUAGAUACCCCUGUAGUCCCUGUCUCUUAUAC
RNAcentral lists this ribosomal RNA (301 nucleotides) under uncultured bacterium. Its description in RNAcentral is "partial 16S ribosomal RNA". It matches the Rfam family "Bacterial small subunit ribosomal RNA", at positions 509 to 807 of the family's 1533-position model. The record is from RNAcentral.